AUGCAUCUGAGCUGGCAGUUCUUCCCAGGUGCCUGUAGGAAUUGUGGAUACGCCAAGCCCACAGGAAUACCCUUCAUGUUUUGCAAGAGGGAACAAAGGAGGUUCACCACAGCAGGAGGACUCUGCAGCUCAGAAUUACUGAUGGCCCAAAAUGCUGGUGACUCACCAGAUUUCCACUGCAGGAGGUUGGCAACUGCACGAGUCCAGUUCAAAGAGGGAAACGACAAAUCAGUCCUGACUCCACAUGGAGAGAAGAUGGCAAAAUACAGCUCUGCACAAUGUCUGGACCUGGAUAAACAGGGAUGUUCUGUUUCAUGGCAAGAAAACUUCUUCCAGCAUGGGCAUUAUUUAUCUGAAGCAGCAGAGGGAUUUCUCCUGUCUCUUUGUGGAACAAUGAAGACAAACAGCACUGUAAAGCCCAGGAUGAAGUGCUCAGGAGUUCAGAACAAACCUGCCAAGAUCUGAAAGGCAGCAUCCAGAGGGCACGAAAGCAUCAGUUCAAUAAAACCAUUUAAUUCUCCA
This 522-nucleotide long non-coding RNA is filed under the name Cyanistes caeruleus (blue tit). RNAcentral's name for it is "lncRNA (ENSCCEG00000009746.1)". Lineage: Eukaryota; Metazoa; Chordata; Aves; Passeriformes; Paridae. The record is from RNAcentral.